UACGGAGGGUGCAAGCGUUAUCCGGAUUCACUGGGUUUAAAGGGUGCGUAGGUGGGCAAGUAAGUCAGUGGUGAAAUCUCCGGGCUUAACCCGGAAACUACCAUUGAUACUAUUUGUCUUGAAUACUGUGGAGGUUAGCGGAAUAUGUCAUGUAGCGGUGAAAUGCUUAGAUAUGACAUAGAACACCAAUUGCGAAGGCAGCUGGCUACACAAAUAUUGACACUGAGGCACGAAAGCGUGGGGAUCAAACAGG
RNAcentral lists this ribosomal RNA (253 nucleotides) under uncultured bacterium. RNAcentral's name for it is "partial 16S ribosomal RNA". It matches the Rfam family "Bacterial small subunit ribosomal RNA", at positions 524 to 776 of the family's 1533-position model. The record is from RNAcentral.